UGUAUGCGUGGAUCCGUGUGUGUCUGCAAGGCGCCGGCUCUCGGGCCGUGUUUGUGCCUGGAGCAGAGAAACUGCGCAGGACGCAGCAAGCCCUCAGGCUUGAUGGAGCUGGGCGGCCGUUAUCCCUCUGCGGGCCAUAGAAUCUUCUCUCCCACCCCACAUUUAAGACCAAUUAAGGCUACAAACAGUAAACUGCUGGCACUUUGCGGUUUUGAGACCUCUUGUUCCAAUUUUCCUUGAAAUACAUACUUUGGCGAGAGGAAUAGGGAAUGUGAUCAAGAUACUUGGAGAUGACUAAAUGACGAAGUCAGAAUCUUUAACCUAUCCUGGUCAAACUCCAGACUCAGAGUGAUCUAUGUUGGUCAUGUAAAAACUGCCCAAUAAUUUGUCAUCUGUGCAGGGUUCUUUACCCAUUAUGGGUUAUGGGGCAGGUGGAAUAUAAAUGACCUUUGGAGCAUUUGCAAAUCCCCUGAAACUGUUUGAAAUUCUGUGAUCAUAUUAAUGUGCACUUUCUGCAGAGGGAGUCCAUACAUUUCAUCAGAUUCUCAAGGGGAUCUUCCUCAAAUGGGGUAAGAAUUACUGAUAUCAAGUUAUCAGUAGCAUUAAUGAUGCAUUAAUUCCUGAUAAGAAAUUAGUUUUUUUUUUCUGUAACGUUUAUAAAACUAAAUGUGACUUGAGUAGACAUUUC
Hipposideros armiger (great roundleaf bat) is the source of this 688-nucleotide long non-coding RNA. RefSeq lists it as uncharacterized. Lineage: Eukaryota; Metazoa; Chordata; Mammalia; Chiroptera; Hipposideridae. The transcript is spliced from 3 exons. The record is from RefSeq and is a predicted model, not a curated record.